CCUAGAUAUAUAAAGUACCGCAAUUACCGCCAUAUUGGCGCCAAAACUAGCGGCAAAUUUAAAAAGGAGGCCAACAUUUCGCUGUUUCGGCUUUUUAAGCAGCUGGUCGGUCCGGCGCCAAUAUGGCCGACCAACAUUGACAGGCAAGCCGUAAAAUAAAAUAUUUAUUAAUUGUAAUAGAAUUACGUUUAUUAUCUACAGUUUACCUUCAUUUUAACGCCUAUAUAUGUUAAGAGGUUAUAAACGAAUGGUUUCCGUACAAGUGUUUUUCAUUUGUAUUAGCAUUUAUUUUAUGUUACCUUUUAGCGCAAAGUACGCCAACAGAAUACUUAAUUCAGUCGAAACAAUUGGAAAAACUUUGUUUGUUGAUGAGAACGGGAUACCUAUACCAUAAGUAAACUUUCCCUAUUAUACCAGUUAUGCUGUAGUUAGUUUUGACAAAUAAGCAUGAUUUAACGAAAGUCUUUGGAACUAUGAAUAAGCUACAAACUUAAAUUUGAAGGCCGGCUUUUAUACGAGAAAAUUUUGAACCAUGGUUGAAACAAAUAAAUGUAAUAAUUAAAUUGAUAUGAUACAUACCUGCUAUUUUUGAAAUAUAUUAAUAUAUUGAUAGAAAGAUUGUUUCAAUUAGUAUUACUUCAGGUAGUUUCGGCAUUUUAGGUAUGUAAUUGUGCACUUAAUUUAAAAAUAACUUAGAAAGAAGCUUGAAACGCAUAGGGGCUCUUUAUGUGUGCUGUAUAAUUAAGGUUUGUAUGUUAUGGAGUCAUUUUUAUACAACAAAUUUAUUAUUAGUUGAAUAAAAGCAAGUUAAUACCACAUAAUUCAA
This 826-nucleotide long non-coding RNA is filed under the name Sitophilus oryzae (rice weevil). RNAcentral describes it as "uncharacterized LOC115887865". Lineage: Eukaryota; Metazoa; Arthropoda; Insecta; Coleoptera; Curculionidae. The record is from RNAcentral.